Molecule: non-coding RNA, 593 nt
Organism: Arachis ipaensis
Lineage: Eukaryota; Viridiplantae; Streptophyta; Magnoliopsida; Fabales; Fabaceae
Source: RefSeq, a predicted model, not a curated record
AUAUCUUUUAGAGGAUCAUGGCUCCUAUUGCUCCGGCUCUCUAUAAAUAGAUUAUUGAGUCCUGAGAGUGUUGUGUAUCAAAUCAUAUAAAGGAAUAUAGAGAAUUAAAAUGCAUUCGUCUUCUAAGGUCAGCACCACACUUUGCAUGGCAACACUGUUCUUCUUCUUCUUAUUAUUCUUAACCAAUUUCACAUAUGCUUCAAGACCUGUCCCUGAAUCAUCUUCCCAACCACCUCCGGUUGUGGAGAAAUCAUUUAAUGUGGAGGAAUAUUGUGAGGGUGUUGCUAAUAAAGAUGAAUGCUUAAUGAGAAGAACACUUGAAGCUCACGUAGAUUAUAUCUAUACACAGAAGGCAAAUCCAUGAUAUAUAUAUCUCUGCAUCACACUUUUGUUGUAAUUUUAUGUAUAAGCUAUAGUUUUCAUCAUAUAUGCAUGUAUGCCACUUUUGAAGAGCUACUAUACUUCACUUUUCCUUUUCUUGUUUUGAUAUAGAAAGAUAUAUUGAUAAAUAUAUAGUAUUUGUAACCAACUAUGUAUGUAUAUAUAUUGAGUUUGGUAGAUAUAAAUUUUGGUUUGUACUUUUUUAAUGUUUU